Molecule: ribosomal RNA, 371 nt
Filed under: uncultured bacterium
Lineage: Bacteria
Description: bacterial SSU rRNA
Rfam family: Bacterial small subunit ribosomal RNA
Source: RNAcentral
GUAGGUGGCAAGCGUUGUCCGGAAUUAUUGGGCGUAAAGCGCGCGCAGGCGGUUCCUUAAGUCUGAUGUGAAAGCCCCCGGCUCAACCGGGGAGGGUCAUUGGAAACUGGGGAACUUGAGUGCAGAAGAGGAGAGCGGAAUUCCACGUGUAGCGGUGAAAUGCGUAGAGAUGUGGAGGAACACCAGUGGCGGAGGCGGCUCUCUGGUCUGUAACUGACGCUGAGGCGCGAAAGCGUGGGGAGCGAACAGGAUUAGAUACCCUGGUAGUCCACGCCGUAAACGAUGAGUGCUAAGUGUUAGAGGGUUUCCGCCCUUUAGUGCUGCAGCAGACGCAUUAAGCACUCCGCCUGGGGAGUACGGCCGCAAGGCUG